GUGAUGAAAACACACCCUGUGGAGCGGUGACUUAGGUCUCCCUUGCUGA
This 49-nucleotide small nucleolar RNA is filed under the name Pyrobaculum aerophilum str. IM2. RNAcentral describes it as "PAEsR57a". The record is from RNAcentral. Lineage: Archaea; Thermoproteati; Thermoproteota; Thermoprotei; Thermoproteales; Thermoproteaceae.